Molecule: transfer RNA, 70 nt
Filed under: Ictidomys tridecemlineatus (thirteen-lined ground squirrel)
Lineage: Eukaryota; Metazoa; Chordata; Mammalia; Rodentia; Sciuridae
Also listed under: 1 other name
Description: Spermophilus tridecemlineatus (thirteen-lined ground squirrel) tRNA
Rfam family: tRNA
About the family: Transfer RNA (tRNA) molecules are approximately 80 nucleotides in length.
Source: Rfam by way of RNAcentral
GGGGAUAUAGCUCAAUUGGUAAAGUGCCUGCCUUGCAUGCACAAGGCCCUGGGUUCAAUCCCCAGCCCUA